This is a long non-coding RNA of Gorilla gorilla gorilla (western lowland gorilla), 8829 nucleotides long. RefSeq lists it as uncharacterized. NCBI's taxonomy places the organism in Eukaryota, Metazoa, Chordata, Mammalia, Primates, Hominidae. The transcript is spliced from 3 exons. The record is from RefSeq and is a predicted model, not a curated record.
AGCAGCAAUGCCUCUGGCUCAAAGACGAUGCAUUUGGGUACAACUGGCUGCCUGCAGGGUGAACCUCACCCUUCAGGCCUCGUCACAGCAGAGGAGUGGCUCAGGCACCAGGGCCCAGGCGCCGGGCACACCUGCUACAUUCCUCCAACUCCCAGGUUGUUCCACUUAACGGCAGGUGUUACCCAGUAUUGCCUCUGCUUCAUUCCGUUCCUUUCUUCUCUGCAUUUGGCUUGGUGCCCCUGAAGGUCACUCUGUUGUCCAGCUAAAGAUGGUGAAUGUUCCCUCUCCAGGCAGAAGCAGGCCAUUGGGGCUUGUUUUCAUUUUCUUUCCAAUUUAAAAGAAUGUAUUCAACAUUCCAUCUUUAGAAAAUGUGAUAACCAUCAAGUCUUUGCAUGAGAAAGGUAAGAGGGAAGUUAAUCUAUAAUGAAGAUCAACUGUGAAGAGGGAAGGGGUCGUCCCUGCCUCCCUUUAGUCAUUUACAUUUUAAAAAACAAUGCAGGUAAGGAAGAAGUCUAAUCUAUAAUGAGAGAAACAACAGUUACACCUGCCCGGGUUACAGAUGCCUCUCACAUGACUCAGGCACUAUAGUCAUAUUUCUUUAAAACUCAAAAUAAUUUGGAGUCCCCACAGCCUAGAUUUUAUUUUCACAUCUGCAAGUCAUUGAGAACUACUCCUGUCUCCUUGUCCCUCCCUAUACCAUUUCCUCCCCCUUCUCUGAGUUCUUUUUCCCAGUCUCCUUUGCUGGGCACCUCACAGCCCCCACUCAUACUUACAUGCUGAAGUCAUCCAGGAUUUGCUUCCAGAUUCAUUGCUUCUAUUUCUGAACCCACCUGUUCCUUUUAACCAUUUGCCUGGUUUAAUUCCCAUUGCCUUUCCCCUUGUAUGUAAAAAUUGAAGUAUGACUUACUUGCCUUAAAGUGCACACUUCUUAAAUAUAUAUGUGAUGAAUUUUUACCUAUAUGUACACCUAUGUAGCUGCCAGUUAAACCAAGGUUAGAGAAUUUCCAGCUUCCAGAAAUGCUCCUGCAUGACCAUCUCAGCCAGUACCCCACAACGAAGCCUCGAGUCUGACCUCCACCAUCAUAGGUUAAUUUUGUUUACUUUUGGACUUCAUAUAAAUGGAAUCAUACCGUGUGUACUCUUCUGUCUUUAAUUUGUUUCAUUGAACAUUAUGUCUAUGAGAUUCACACAUGUAUCAGUAGCUUAUUCUUCUUACUUGGAGUGAUUUCAGAUGCUCGCUACUGAUAGCAUUGUCUCAUGAGCAUGAGGCAGUGGGGGAAGAGGAAAAUUACAGAUAAAAAUAUAAAUAACACCAAAUCUGCUGACUAUAACGGUUUGAGAAUUCCAAGGGAGUUUGAGAAUUUUGAGACUGUCUCAGGCAGUGAGUCUUUGGUGGUUAAAGUAAAGCCAGAACUGUUUCCAGCCACAUGACCCUUUGAGUCCAAUGGUACUUUAGAGUUACGGGAAGUUGUUUACCUGGGAGACGAUAAUGUCCACAUCUCAGUGUCCAGUGCCCUGGUGUUGAACACCUGGACACCUAGACUAGUACUUUCUAUUUUGAGCAAAGAUGGGACCUCGUGCUCCUGAGACCUUUAAAUUUUUGUGAGGAGCCAGUGGAUAUGUCAGUGCACCAGGCAUUGAGACUACAUGAAUACUAUGUCUUGCAAAUGUAUUUAUUGCCACUUUUGUGGUCUGCAUAGAUGCUCUUCUGAUUAAUAAAUAUAAAAGUACUAGAUGUAUCAUCGACUCCAUUGUUUUCUGCCAUUUAGAUAGCUUUUUAAAAAAUGAAGCAAAAGGAAAAGUAUGAUGACAUUCAUGUAGAAGUGCUUUGGAAAUUUUCUGGUAUUAAGAUAUGUUCUUUCAUACUUAGAAAGGUUAGAAAUCAUCUCGGUUUAUUGUACCCAGAAAGCGUUUAGGGCUCAAAAUGUGCUCGUUGAAUGUUGAACAAACAAGGAAAUGGGGCUCCUGGGAGAGUAAGUGACUAGACAAAGGUCUCACUGCAGUUAAUGGAAAAACUGCACAGGAAGGCAGGUCUCAUGGCAUCAAGAAAGUCUAAAUUUUUACCCCUAAGGUUUUGCAUAGAUAACGGCUCCUGGGAACCAUCUUCUACCCUCCUUGUGUGUCUGGGUCUUUCUAAUUAGGCUUUCUCCCUUGUGUACCAAAUUCUCCCACAAAUCACUAAAGAUUUUAUAGGCCUUAAAUUGAAAACAAGAUGAUAUCAUUUUGUCAUAGUGCACAAGUUAGUAAUAAAAUAGUGUGAUUGCUUUUUAGUGAUUUGAUUUGAGAAGUUUGUAGUUAUUUGUGCCCAGACAGGUUAACCAGUAACUGCUUAGCCACGUUGUCUGCAUUCAGUUCACUCUUUAGAAGGAGCAGCCUUUGACUAACCUCUCCCCAUUUCCCCCAUCUCCAGCCUCUGGCGGCCACUCUUCCACUUUAUUUCUAUGAGUUUGACUUUUUUAGAUUCCACAUAGAAGCAAGAUCAUACCGUAUUUGUCUUUCUCUGUCUGACUUAUUUCACUUGGCAUCAUGUCUUCCAGGUUCAUCCAAGUUGUCGCAAAUGGCAAGAUUUGCUUCUUUUUGGCUAAAUAAUAUACAAUUAUAUAUAUACACACACACAAACACACAUAUACAUGUAUUUCACAAUUUCUUUAUGUAUUCAUGUCAAUGGACACUUAUGGUGGUUAUACCUUGGUUAUUGUGAACAGUACUCCAAUGAAUAACGGAGUGCAGCUAUCUCUUUGAGCUAUUGAUUUCAUUCUUUCUCAACACCACACACACACACACACACACACACACACACACACACACACACACACACACACUGGUAAGUAGAUGAGGUGAUGGAUGUAUGAACAAAAUUGACUGUGGUCAUUUUUUCACAAUAUAUACAUAUAUCAAAUCCUAAUAUUGUACAUCUUAAACUGAUAGAGUUUUGUCAGUUAGUUAUACCUCAAUAAAGCUGGAGAAAAUAAAUAAAAGGAACAUCCUGCUGGCUGUCUCCGUGGGACAGCCUGGCCCAGCAGAGCCACUCUCCAGACACUGCACAUGCGUGUGUCCCUGUAAGAAGCCGCUGCUGUUCCUUCCUGAACAGUGAAGCUGGUCCCUGUGAGAUGUUGCUAUCCUUGGGGGAAUACCUCAAGUGCCUUCUGCAAUGUUCAAAGGCUUCUGCGACAACCUCCAACCCACCUCUAGCCCUCCAAAGAUUGUGCUGGACUCUGCCUGGAAGGGUGAGUGAGGUGCCCAUUUUUUCUCUUGCCCAAAGACCCUCCCCUUCUUCCAUGUGUGCCUGAAGCUGUCUUGAGGCACCAGAGAGCCCCUGUCCGUUUUUUACUCAUUUCUGCUAAGCCUGUGUUCACAGAGCGAGGUAAACCCCGCUGGAGAAAUAGAAUCUGCUUUCAGCUUCAUCUGCAGAACUAGGUCACUUUAGUCUUUUGCUAACCAGAUUACCAAUAAAAAUUGCCUGGAAAAAGAUGGAGAAUGAGGUUCAAAAAUGAAAACAAACAAAAUGAAACAACAUUAAGACAAAAGAUAAAUCUGUGAUAAUUUCUUGAGUAUAACAUGUUUCUAUUUCUGCUUCUGUGGUUCAGAUAUUAAAGACUUAAAGUAAAUCUCUUUGUUGUAAGAUUAAAGAGAAUUCCCCAUAUUAAAUAAAAUUAAAAGCUUGGAUUAAAGGAAGCAACACUAUCAGCUAGUUUCUUCCAUUGGUUGCAUCAUCGACAUCUUUGAACCCCAGGAUUUAAGAUGGAGCAACUUCCAAAAACUCUUGUCCUUUCAAGCCAUUUCUGAGGUGACACUGAGGCUACUGGGGAAUCUGUUUGGCCAGUGGAGGGCACUUCAGUCUCUUGCUCUGCGUGUAAUCACUUUGCUUUUCACACAUGACCUGGCAGAGCUGAUGCAACUCUAGUGCCUCACACAAACAGUUCCAUUUGCAACCUACUGGAUUGUGUCAUUCAUCUCUUUUUGCUCUUGCAUUUCCUUCUAAUAUUGAAGGUAGACUUGCUGGCUUGGAAACCUGACAUCUGUGCUUUGAAGUCUAGGAGGAUGAAAAAGUCUUGAAGCCAGGACAAGAUGGCCCGCAAAGGGAUCAGGUUUUAUUCUGACCAAAAUAAAGACUUUUUAAAGACUUUUGAAGCCUUGUUUAUGCUAUCAGGGCUCCAAUUUAAAAGAUGUCACUGUCAGUAGAUGUCUUCUGAUUUUGAGAAGCACACGUGAUGAGUUCUGGGUCACUCACCUUCCCACGGCGUCCUCGGUGUUCCCAGCCUCACUGUUGCUCUCAGCCAGCCUCAACCAAAACCACUUCCUCUGGAAGCCUGCCCCUUCCCCCACUCCCAUUUGCGAGUCUUCCCAGCUGCCCUUUUCUAGUGCUUCAACCACGGUCCCCCACCUGCCUCUCCCUCUACCUGCUCCCUUAAUAGCUCCACCUUGCCCCUCCUCUUAAGGGUGAGCAGUAGCUACAGGUAGAGAAAUACUUAACGUCAUGCUUUUAUUUUUGGACUCCCCAGUAGACCUGAGUGCUUUAUUCAAGGAGGACAUCAGCAUUGAUUUUCCCUCUCAGCAAAGUGCUUUAAAGGUGAAAGUGCCUUUUCACAGAGCUGGGGCCACCUUGCAUCAUAGCCUUGGAGCCAUUUCUGUGUGGCAGAGAGAAGGCUACCCCCUCCUUCCCCACUUCCCGUCUCCACUGACAGCCUUCUCUUUGAAGCUGAUGUGUGCAUCUGACUUUCUGCAACCCUGAACUUUCAGCAUUGUGUUUUUCGGCUAGCCAUUCUACAGCUUGAUCAUCUGAAUGCAGAUAUGCAUAGAGGUUCUGCUCGUGACCAUGUGACCCACCUUUGUAUCCUGCAAGAGCAAUGGGAUUGGUGUGGAGGGUGAGAGCUGGAGCUCUGGAGUCAAUAUGCCUAGAGGGAAUUGUGGAUUACUAUCAUGUAAUCUUCAGCAAGCUAAUUAAUGGCUCUGUGCCUUAGUUUCCUCCUCUGCAAAAUGAAGGUAGUAACGGAAGCUACUCAUGGGAUCAUUAAAAGAAUUCUAUGAGACAGUACUUAUUAUAAAUUUAAAGUGGUUUGUGACAUAUAGUAAAUGGUCAAAAAAUGUUAGCUAGUAGUCAAAAUAGAAGUAGGGUGAGAUUUAAUUACAUUUAUAAAAAUCACUUAAGCCUGCAAAUGCCCAGUGCACCUGAGGGAGUGACAGAAUCAUCGUUGUCCAAAUCUAGUUCCUACUUGUCCCAAGCAAGAAAAUGUCAGGGCCAACAGCUCCGUCCUUCCUUCCUCCAUCUGUGAGGUAGCAAUGUGAAUGCCUCUCUUCCUUUUUCUCUAGGUACCCAUAGUAGGAGAGACAAUGUAUUCUACACCAGGACUUCUAAAAUGUUCAUGUGCAUAGAACUCACUUGGAAAUCUUAGACAAAUAUGGAUUCUGAUUUAGUAGUUCUGGGCUGGGGCCUGAGAGUCUACAUUUCUUUUCUUUCUUUUCUUUUUUUCUUUUUGAGAUGGAGUUUUGCUCAUUUUUCCCAGGCUGGAUUGCAAUGGCAUGAUCUCAGCUCACUGCAACCUCUGCCUCCGUAGUUCAAGUGAUUCUCUUACCUCAGCCUCCCAAGUAGCUGGGAUUACAGGCAUGCACCACCACGCCAGGCUAAUUUUUUGUAUUUUUAGUACAGAUGGGGUUUCACCAUGUUGGUCAGCUGGUCUUGAACUUCAGACCUCAGGUGAUCCACCCGCCUCGGCCUCCUAAAGUGCUGGUAUUACAGGCGUGAGCCACCAUGCCUGGCUGAGAUUCUGCAUUUCUUUCAAGGUCACAAGUGCUGCUGUUGCUUCUGGUCUGGGCACCACAUUUUGAGUAGCAAAGAUCUAUACGAUGAUCUGACCUGGAGGCAGGAGCCCAUCUGGGUGAAUAUUAGGUGGAAAAGAACACCAGGAGUGGCUCAGCUGCUAGGGCUCAGAAUGGUGUUUCAGGCUCCUGUGUGGUUAUACCCCAGAAAUGCAAAUGGACUCUUACUAAAAGGUUCUGAAAUGGCCACAAAUAUUUGAAAACCCUGAGGCCAAGGCCGUCUUAUUUUGGGCUCAGUCUUUAUGUAUUUUUAUUUUAAAUAUUUAUUUUAUAGAUCUAUCUAUCUAUGUAUCUAGCUAUCUAGCUAGCUAGCUAUAUCUGUGGUCCCCUACCCAGAGAUGGACUCAGUACACAAGGGCCAUUUUCCACACCCCUGAUUGCAGUCACAACCAAUUAGCAGGACCCAAGGACCCAUUCCCUAGUCCCUAUAUAUAUGUACACACACACGCACACACACUCACACACACACUUUUUUUUCAAGAGAAUCAUAGUAAACUUUAAAAAGGGACUCAAACAUGCAUUUUGAAAGCAAAGGUAGUCACAGUAAAUGCAGUAUAUUUUUGAAAAAAUGAUUCAGAUAUACAUUUUAAAAGAAAAGUCACAAUAUUUUCAGCAUUUUAAAGUUUUAGGAGUACAUGACAUAAAGUUCUUGUGACUCUGGAGCCCUACUUUCCUCCUUAUCCUCCCUUCUGUGUAUGUACAAAUCACACAUUCAUAUCCAUAUUUCAUUUGGCUAAAAUGAUAAGUUUCUAAGCUUGUAAUUCUUCACUGUUAUUGUAAGGGGAACUUGAGGGAGGUGGUCAAAGUGAGGGGCAGGGAAGGAGCCCUUCCCGGUGAGCAGCAGCAAACUACCACUGGAGCAAGGUCAAGACUGUCUUGAUUUGCAGCUAGUUCCAUCAGCCCAGAGUUUUUCAGAGCACACCAGCAGCUCUGAAGUUUCCUAUCCUGUGUUUUAAUGUGGUUUUUUGAGAUUUAAUUUUGAUGAAUCAGAUCCUCAGGGGCAUACAUUUUUAUAUUCUAGGCUAAAGCUGCCACAGGGAGGGAAACGUAGGGAUUCUUUUUUAGAUUAAGUGGUAUCUGUCAUUUGCAGAUACUCAUCUUUGCAGAUGCCCAUCUUUGAUGGCACUUUUUAUGUAGGUAAGUUUUGUGGUCCAUGGGUCUCUGGUUCAUAGUACAUGGCUGACUCAGAAGAGAGACUCUAUCCACAAAGGUGUAAUCACUUGACAGCCUCUUUGUGCCUGCUGCACAGACAAAACCAAUUCACUGAGACCACAGUAUUGCAGUAAAGAAAGAGUUUAAUUAAUGCUAGGCUAAACACAUGGAAGAUGGAGUUAUUACUCAAAUCAGUCUUCCCAAAGGCUUGGAGGUUAGGCUUUUUCAAGGCAGGGGACUAGGGAAUGGGUCCACAUGAUUGGUUGGGGAUGCAGUCAUAGGGUGUGGAAAAUGGUCCGUGUGCUGAGUAUGCCUCUGGGUAGGUUUAGGGGGUGCAGAAGAUCAGUUGAGUCAUAAGCCAUGAGUCUAGGUGGGAUUACUGAGUUUCCAGAAUGCAAAGGUCUGAAAAGCAUCUCAAAAGACCAAUCUCAGGUUCUAUAAUAGUAAUGUUAUCUAUAGGAACAAUUGGAGAAGCCAAAAAUCUUGUAACCUCUGGCCACAUGACUCCUAAGCGGUAGGAGGUUAUAGAAACUAUAUCUACAUUUUAGUGGAGUUCAGGCUCCUCCCAUAAUCCUAAUCUCAUGGCCUUUCACCAGGUUUUUGCACUGAGCAAGGGAAGAAUUAGUUUUAGGGAGGAACUGUUCUCAUCCUUGCUUCCAAGUUAAACUAUAAACUAAAUUCCUCCCAUGGUUAGCUUGGCCUAUGCCCAGGAAUAAGCAAAGACAGUCAGCCUGUGAGGCUAGAAGCAAAAUGGAGUCAGCCCUGUUAGACUUCUCUCACUGUCAUAAUCUUUACAAAAGAGGUUUCAAGGUUGCCAGGAGAGUUUCACAGGACCUGGUCCGUUUGGAUGUAAGACACCUCUUUCUUCAGACUUCCUCCAUGUGGACCCAUUCUGCUGCUGGACUGGGUAUGUUGAUGUGAAAUUUGCUGUUGACCUGGCAGUCUACAUUCAUGCUGCAGAAGGACAGUCGUAGCAAUGUAUUUCCUGAGUAUUGGAAGAAACAGCCAAAAACGAAUUGACUUCACCUUGAGAUGAACCCCAUACCCUUGAACCUGUAGACGUAUAUUCAUGAAAACAAAUGGAAGGACUUUGGGCACUUGACCUCUAUUUUGUUACAAUUUAUAUUAUUAGCAGCAGAGAUUUAGGCCAGGAGACUGGAUUCUUGUUUGUGACCUUGAUAGAACGUAUUAACUUUAUUUAUGUUGUAAUGUCAAUGAUUCUUUGACUUUAGGAGAAGGAAGUCCACUUCCUUGAAUGUAAGUUAUACAUUUUAUUUUAUUUUUCUGUCAACUGGGAGAAGUCCACCGCUCUACUAGGCUGAUAAGCUCUUACCAUAUGUACAUGUCUUUCCUUUUAUAUGUUUAAAUCUUUGAAUUUUAUAGAAUACUAAGAAUUGAAACUUUAUGCACUUUUGAACCUUUGAAACCUUUCUUUCUGCUAGGACCAUAUGACACUUAAAUAUAUCUAAAUUAUAUCUUAUUAGAUUUUGAAUAUUUUAUAUGGCUCUGUCUGAUUUGAUGCCAGAACUCAUUGGGUAAUUCUACUAUUAUUCUCCUGGGAGUUAAAAACUGCUUUUUAUUUAUAUUCACUCUUCCUAAUCUUCGUCAGUACACAAAUGUGAUUGAAUAACAAGGCUCAACAGAAAUACGUGAAAGUAUUUCACUCUCUUUUAAAAUGUUUUAUGUUAACUAUUUUUCAUUUUGUGUACAACAAAUAUUUUUCUAAAAACUUUGGUUCUCAGACCCUUUGAGAAUCUGACAGGCUGUAGAUUCUCUUUCUAGAAAAAUACACACACAUAUAAGACAUUUUGUCCCGGCUCUUAAUUAUUGGUUAUUACUGGGUUAUAUUAAAUUCUUUAU